GAUGAACGCUGGCGGCGUGCCUAAUACAUGCAAGUCGAGCGAACAGACGAGAGUGCUUGCACUCUCUGACGUUAGCGGCGGACGGGUGAGUAACACGUGGGAAACCUACCUAUAAGACUGGGAUAACUUCGGGAAACCGGAGCUAAUACCGGAUAAUAUUUAGCUUCGCAUGAAGCAAUAGUGAAAGACGGUUCUGCUGUCACUUAUAGAUGGACCCGCGGUGUAUUAGCUAGUUGGUGAGGUAACGGCUCACCAAGGCAACGAUACAUAGCCGACCUGAGAGGGUGAUCGGCCACACUGGGACUGAGACACGGCCCAGACUCCUACGGGAGGCAGCAGUAGGGAAUCUUCCGCAAUGGACGAAAGUCUGACGGAGCAAUGCCGCGUGAGUGAAGAAGGUUUUCGGAUCGUAAAACUCUGUUGUAAGGGAAGAACAAGUACGUUAGUAACUGAACGUACCUUGACGGUACCUUACCAGAAAGCCACGGCUAACUACGUG
This 499-nucleotide ribosomal RNA is filed under the name uncultured bacterium. RNAcentral's name for it is "partial 16S ribosomal RNA". It matches the Rfam family "Bacterial small subunit ribosomal RNA", at positions 28 to 507 of the family's 1533-position model. The record is from RNAcentral.